Molecule: transfer RNA, 75 nt
Filed under: Gammaproteobacteria bacterium
Lineage: Bacteria; Pseudomonadati; Pseudomonadota; Gammaproteobacteria
Description: tRNA-Glu
Rfam family: tRNA
About the family: Transfer RNA (tRNA) molecules are approximately 80 nucleotides in length. Their secondary structure includes four short double-helical elements and three loops (D, anti-codon, and T loops).
Source: RNAcentral
GCUCCCUUCGUCUAGCGGUCAGGACACCGGCCUCUCACGCCGGCGACAGGGGUUCGAUUCCCCUAGGGAGCGCCA